Molecule: ribosomal RNA, 478 nt
Filed under: uncultured bacterium
Lineage: Bacteria
Description: partial 16S ribosomal RNA
Rfam family: Bacterial small subunit ribosomal RNA
Source: RNAcentral
GACGAACGCUGGCGGCGUGCUUAACACAUGCAAGUCGAACGGUAAGGCCCUUCGGGGUACACGAGUGGCGAACGGGUGAGUAACACGUGGGUGAUCUGCCCUGCACUUCGGGAUAAGCCUGGGAAACUGGGUCUAAUACCGGAUAGGACCACUGCCUGCAUGGGUGGUGGUGGAAAGCUUUUGCGGUGUGGGAUGGGCCCGCGGCCUAUCAGCCUGUUGGUGGGGUGAUGGCCUACCAAGGCGACGACGGGUAGCCGGCCUGAGAGGGUGACCGGCCACACUGGGACUGAGAUACGGCCCAGACUCCUACGGGAGGCAGCAGUGGGGAAUAUUGCACAAUGGGCGCAAGCCUGAUGCAGCGACGCCGCGUGAGGGAUGACGGCCUUCGGGUUGUAAACCUCUUUCAGCACAGACGAAGCGCAAGUGACGGUAGGUGCAGAAGAAGGACCGGCCAACUACGUGCCAGCCGCCGCGGUAA